CAGUAGCCACGGUAAUACGGAGGGAGCUAGCGUUGUUCGGAAUUACUGGGCGUAAAGCGCGCGUAGGCGGUUACUCAAGUCAGAGGUGAAAGCCCGGGGCUCAACCCCGGAACUGCCUUUGAAACUAGGUGACUAGAAUCUUGGAGAGGUCAGUGGAAUUCCGAGUGUAGAGGUGAAAUUCGUAGAUAUUCGGAAGAACACCAGUGGCGAAGGCGACUGACUGGACAAGUAUUGACGCUGAGGUGCGAAAGCGUGGGGAGCAAACAGGAUUAGAUACCCGGGUAGUCCCUGUCUCUUAUAC
RNAcentral lists this ribosomal RNA (301 nucleotides) under uncultured bacterium. RNAcentral's name for it is "partial 16S ribosomal RNA". It matches the Rfam family "Bacterial small subunit ribosomal RNA", at positions 509 to 807 of the family's 1533-position model. The record is from RNAcentral.